Molecule: long non-coding RNA, 1504 nt
Filed under: Daucus carota (carrot)
Lineage: Eukaryota; Viridiplantae; Streptophyta; Magnoliopsida; Apiales; Apiaceae
Description: long non-coding RNA (DCAR_LNC006670)
Source: RNAcentral
UCCACCAACAUUUUCGUUUUAAUCUCUCAGAAACCCUCUCAAGCUAUAUAGAAACCCUCUCAACGUCUCUUCAUCUUUCGUUUUAAUCUCCAGCUUUCUUGAUGGCGUCUUCAAGGUAAUCACUUUCGUUUUCUUUUUCUUUUCAUUUUCGUUUUCUUUCAUUUUUGUAAUCACUAAUCUAUGCAUGUAAUCAUUUUUUUCUUUUCCAUAGCAAUCACUCUGCCUCGAACUCGGUAACACAGCCCAUAUAUACAGAGAAUGUGGAGAAAUCUUUGUGCAACCUGAACGGUCACCUGGCGACCCUCCGUGAGCAGAUGGUGGAACUCACCCAGUUGACUGCUACCCUGAACAAGAUGGUGGAGCUGCUCAGGGAUUAUCUCAAAGCAGUGAUGGUGGAGCAAUCGCAACUGGUCCAGUGACUGCGUCAUGGGCGUUGAGGCGGGUUGCUGGUGGACUGGUGGACUAGGUUGAUUAAGUAUGUUUAUGUUUAUGUUUAUGUUAAUUAAGAACUUUAAGUAUGUUUAAGUAUGUUGAUGGUAUGGUGGAUUUUAAGUAUUGUUGAUUAUGGUGGAUUUUAAGUAUGUUUAUGUUGAUGGUAUGGUGGAUUUUGAUGUAUUGUUUAUGGUUUAGUUUAUGGUUAAUUAUGGUUUAGUUUAUGGUUAAUUAAGUAUUGUUGAUUAUGGUGGAUUUUAAGUAUGUUUAAGUAUGUUUGUAUGCAUAUGAUUUUAGUUUAUGGUGGUUUCGUUUUUUCAUGUUAGUGUAUGGUUUAGUUUAUGGUGAUUUAAGUAUCUGAUUUUAGUUUAUGGUGGUUUCGUUUAAGUAUGGUUAUUUUAGUGUAUGGUUUCGUUUAAGUAGGUGAUUUUAGUUUAUGGUCUUUUGGUUUCUCUGUUUGUAUUCAUCUGAUUUUGAAGUUUUGUUUCUUUCUCAGUUUUUGUCUUAAUGAUUCUUUUGAAAAACAUGUAGUGUUUACUCAAUUAGACUAAAAAGUUGCUAGUAGUGAUUAAUCUCAGUAGCGUGUAGUAGUGAUUAAUCUCAGUUGCUAGUUGCUAGUUGCUAGUUUGCUGAUCUUAAUGAAGCCCACUUGCCCACUUGUUCUUGCCCAUUUGUUCUUGCCAACAGACAAAUGCUUUAAAAUGCCAACAGACUAAAAAUCCAUAAAACUCGUUUUCUUCGUAAAUCCUUAAAAUGCUCGUUUUUUGUAAAUCCUUAAAACUCGUUUUAUUCAAACUGAUGCCCCUCCUUAAAACUCGUUUUUUGUAAAUCUUUCCCAGAGACUUUUUGAAUAAUUCACUUGUUUUUUCCAUAAUUCACCAUAGUUUUUGUUAUAAUCACAAUAAACACAAUUAGCACCAUAAACACACUUAGCACCAUAAACACAACAUAAACUGAAAGAAUUAACACAGAAGCUCAAAGAAGAUCAAUAUGUACAUGGAUUUAAAUUAGUACCAAAGAAGCUCAAUAUGUACAUGGAUUUAAAUUCAAUCAAUUGUAAACCACAGAAAAU